CACCUACGGGAGGCAGCAGUGGGGAAUAUUGCACAAUGGGGGAAACCCUGAUGCAGCGACGCCGCGUGAGUGAGGAAGUAUUUCGGUAUGUAAAGCUCUAUCAGCAGGGAAGAAAAUGACGGUACCUGACUAAGAAGCCCCGGCUAACUACGCGCCAGCAGCCGCGGUAAUACGUAGGGGGCAAGCGUUAUCCGGAUUUACUGGGUGUAAAGGGAGCGUAGACGGACUUGCAAGUCUGAUGUGAAAAUCCGUGGCCCAACCCCGGAACUGCAUUGGAAACUGUAUAUCUAGAGUGUCGCAGAGGG
This 305-nucleotide ribosomal RNA is filed under the name uncultured bacterium. Its description in RNAcentral is "bacterial SSU rRNA". It matches the Rfam family "Bacterial small subunit ribosomal RNA", at positions 335 to 658 of the family's 1533-position model. The record is from RNAcentral.